Molecule: ribosomal RNA, 468 nt
Filed under: uncultured bacterium
Lineage: Bacteria
Description: partial 16S ribosomal RNA
Rfam family: Bacterial small subunit ribosomal RNA
Source: RNAcentral
GACGAACGCUGGCGGCGUGCUUAACACAUGCAAGUCGAACGGAAAGGCCCUGCUUUUGUGGGGUGCUCGAGUGGCGAACGGGUGAGUAACACGUGAGUAACCUGCCCUUGACUUUGGGAUAACUUCAGGAAACUGGGGCUAAUACCGGAUAGGAGCUCCUGCUGCAUGGUGGGGGUUGGAAAGUUUCGGCGGUUGGGGAUGGACUCGCGGCUUAUCAGCUUGUUGGUGGGGUAGUGGCUUACCAAGGCUUUGACGGGUAGCCGGCCUGAGAGGGUGACCGGCCACAUUGGGACUGAGAUACGGCCCAGACUCCUACGGGAGGCAGCAGUGGGGAAUAUUGCACAAUGGGCGGAAGCCUGGUGCAGCAACGCCGCGUGCGGGAUGACGGCCUUCGGGUUGUAAACCGCUUUCGCCUGUGACGAAGCGUGAGUGACGGUAAUGGGUAAAGAAGCACCGGCCAACUACGUG